UACGUAGGGUGCGAGCGUUAAUCGGAAUUACUGGGCGUAAAGCGUGCGUAGGCGGUUCGCUGUGUCCGAUGUGAAAGCCCCGGGCUUAACCUGGGAAUGGCAUUGGAAACUGGCGGGCUUGAGUGCGGCAGAGGGGGAUGGAAUUCCGCGUGUAGCAGUGAGAUGCGUAGAUAUGCGGAGGAACACCGAUGGCGAAGGCAAUCCCCUGGACCUGUACUGACGCUCAUGCACGAAAGCGUGGGGAGCAAACAGG
This 253-nucleotide ribosomal RNA is filed under the name uncultured bacterium. Its description in RNAcentral is "partial 16S ribosomal RNA". It matches the Rfam family "Bacterial small subunit ribosomal RNA", at positions 524 to 776 of the family's 1533-position model. The record is from RNAcentral.